Molecule: ribosomal RNA, 468 nt
Filed under: Odondebuenia balearica (coraline goby)
Lineage: Eukaryota; Metazoa; Chordata; Actinopteri; Gobiiformes; Gobiidae
Description: partial 12S ribosomal RNA
Rfam family: Bacterial small subunit ribosomal RNA
Source: RNAcentral
CUCGCCCGGGUACUACGAGCCUAAGCUUGAAACCCAAAGGACUUGGCGGUGCUUUAGACCCCCCUAGAGGAGCCUGUUCUAGAAUCGAUACUCCCCGUUCAACCUCACCCCCUCUUGUUCAUUCCCGCUCAUAUACCGCCGUCGUCAGCUUACCCUGUGAAGGACUAAAAGUAAGCUCAAUUGGUAAGGCCCAAAAAGUCAGGUCAACGUGUGGCGUACGAGGGGGGAAGAAAUGGGCUACAUUUGCUGAGUCAGCAAAUACGGACGUUGCACUGAAAAAGCACCUGAAGGAGGAUUUAGCAGUAAGAGAGGAAUAGAGCGCCUCUCUGAAGCCGGCCCUGAAGCGCGCACACACCGCCCGUCACCCUCCCCAAAAUCGCAGACCCUAAUAAGUAAUAAAAUAGCCCUACACAAGGGGAGGCAAGUCGUAACAUGGUAAGUGUACCGGAAGGUGCACUUGGAAAACCC